RNAcentral lists this ribosomal RNA (433 nucleotides) under uncultured bacterium. Its description in RNAcentral is "partial 16S ribosomal RNA". It matches the Rfam family "Bacterial small subunit ribosomal RNA", at positions 29 to 507 of the family's 1533-position model. The record is from RNAcentral.
AACGAACGCUGGCGACAUGCCUAACACAUGCAAGUCGAACGAGACCUUCGGGUCUAGUGGCGCACGGGUGCGUAACGCGUGGGAACCUGCCCUUAGGUUCGGAAUAACUCCCCGAAAGGGGUGCUAAUACCGGAUAAUGUCUUCGGACCAAAGAUUUAUCGCCUUUGGAUGGGCCCGCGUUGGAUUAGCUAGUUGGUAGGGUAAAAGCCUACCAAGGCGACGAUCCAUAGCUGGUCUGAGAGGAUGAUCAGCCACACUGGGACUGAGACGCGGCCCAGACUCCUACGGGAGGCAGCAGUGGGGAAUAUUGGACAAUGGGCGAAAGCCUGAUCCAGCAAUGCCGCGUGAGUGAUGAAGGCCUUAGGGUUGUAAAGCUCUUUUACCCGGGAUGAUAAUGACAGUACCGGGAGAAUAAGCUCCGGCUAACUCCGUG